Haemorhous mexicanus (house finch) is the source of this 747-nucleotide long non-coding RNA. RefSeq lists it as uncharacterized. The transcript is spliced from 3 exons. NCBI's taxonomy places the organism in Eukaryota, Metazoa, Chordata, Aves, Passeriformes, Fringillidae. The record is from RefSeq and is a predicted model, not a curated record.
GCGCUCUCAGAAUGUUGAUGGAGGUGAUGAUUGCAGGGGCGAUGCUUCUGGAGAAUAGCUCCCCCAUCUUCCCCAGGGCCUGGGCAGAGAGAGGUGGAGCUCGGAGUCCCCCCAGUCCUCCCGCGGGUGCUGGCGUCUGCAGCGCCAUCGGGACGGGAUCCACGGCGCAGCUCCCUCCUCCAGAGGCCGAAGGCUCAGCCUCCAGUUUCGUGCAGGGUGAUCACCUUUCCAGGGCAAUACAAGCACUUCCCAAGAGCAGCUGGUGAAGAUGGCGCAGAAGCAAGGACAAGGGUGCAGUGAAAAGUUUGGUGCAUCGAUCCAGCUUCCGGACACGUGAUCUUCUACCCUGCCCCACGGCAAGAAGAGUUUGGUGAUUUUGCUGCUCUGCUCUCUCAAGGGUGUUGCAGGCUGCGUAGCAGGGAGUGAAGCCCUUGUCGCUGCUCAUCAGACACUUUCCUACAGAAUUCUCCCUGCAGUGAUAAAAUUAGAGUGGUGUUAGUGAGCUGCCAAGUAGAGCAGGACAGCACGAAGACUGAACGUGUAAGAAGAUGUGGGGUGCAAUGGAGAACCUGGCAGGAGCAUCCGACGCACACGUGCAUGAGUUUUGCUUUUUGCUUGGAUUGAAACUCAAAAGUUGUAAAGGAAUUUGGGAAUGAGAUGGGACGUUUCAGAAGAAGAGGAAGGAGGAGAAGAAGUUGUUGUUACAGUCCUGGCAAAAUCCUUUGUUCUAGCUAAUAAAAGAAGUUA